Long non-coding RNA from Apis florea (little honeybee), 505 nucleotides. RefSeq lists it as uncharacterized. Lineage: Eukaryota; Metazoa; Arthropoda; Insecta; Hymenoptera; Apidae. The record is from RefSeq and is a predicted model, not a curated record.
UUUACAAAUUACAUAAUUAAAAUAGCUAUAAAUAUAGCUAUAAAUAGCUUCAUCGAAAUAGUAAAUGUUGUAAUAAUUUAAAAAUUCUUGAAUAAUAAAAAUAGUGUAUUUUUUUAUAAUUAUUACUAUAUUGUGGAAAAAUUACUGAAUAUAAAAAAUUGAUACACAAAAUGAACACUAUCAUCGACUGUAAGAUCAUGAAAAAAGAAAAAAAUGAAGUCUAAAGCUUGCGCAUUAUUAUGUAAAUUGUGCCUUGAGGUGCCGAGAAAGAGAUAAACAAGAACCGGAAAGAAUGCCAUAUAAAUACCAAUGAUCGGUGGCACGUUACCCAAUAUUGCAUACGCCAUUCCUGCAAUGUAAUUAAAAUCCUUAUAAUACCAAUUUUAACGUUUUAAUUCUUUUGAGAACUUUACUUAUUUAUUAAUUAAAAUAAAGUGGAAAUAUUUAAAAAGCAGAUAUACUAUUUUAGUUUCGUAUUAAUAAAGAUAUUGAUUGAUUUAUUUAA